CUGCCCGGUGCCAACCCCCGGGGAGGGGGGGACGCAGCCGCCCGGCCCCGCUGUGCUCGGCCCCCGCCUCGUUUUACGGUCGUGGAGAGGGAGGAAAAAUCCCAAACCAGGUGAGUGCUGCGCUCCUUUUUUUUUUUAUUAUUAUUUUUUAUUAUUAGAAGGAAAAGAUGAAGAACGUGUGGGGUUCGGGGCGGCUUUUCGUUUGGGGUUGUUGAAUUGUCCCCCCUCCUUCCUCCCUUUCAGUGCGUUUGUCCGCAAGGUGUGCGUUGCCCAACGCGGGGAAGCGCUGCCGAGCGGGCAUGGAGAAGAAAAUAAAAUAAAAUAAAAAAGGAAAAAAACCCAGACUGGAGGAGAAAAGCCGAAUUGAAGGAAAAAAUCCGAAUUUAGGGGAAUAAAGCCAAAUGUAGGGGGAGAAAAACAACACAUGACAGAAAUGAUUCGGCCACGGAGCGUUGCGCGUCCCGGGGAGCGCCGGGGCGGGGAUGGGGACGGAGCAGCGCCCCGCGUGCCCCGCACCGCGCGCCGGCGGGGAGCACCGCUAUGCUGUGUGUUACGGGCAGGAGCAGCAGUAUGAGUGCAAGCCUUGCCCUCAGCAGGGAGUGAGAAGCAUGGCAGGAGCUGAUUCCUGCAUUGUGCCAUCAGCUGGCAGGCAGUAGGACAGCUAAAGAUUCAUGGCAGUAGUGGGACCCGCUGGCAGGAGCAUUGGGGAGGACGUGCCCAGCAGUGCUGAGGCUGUUGAAACCAGGAGGCUUGCAUGAAUGCUAGCAGAGCUCGAGUGCUGGGGGUUCGGUAGGCAAUAAAAUCACCUUUUCUAUUACUAGGUGGACUUCCAGUGCUUAAAACCAUCCAUGUGUGUAGACGGAGGCUUGGGCAGAGAUGUGUUGUGCAGCCCAAUCUGGGCUGGUGCUGAGUGUUACAUGACCUAAGGCGGUGUUUUGAUUCACUCUUCAGCUCCUGUGAUUUCAUUUUGCAGCAAGUCACUUAGCUUCCUUCCCUCCCAUCGAUUCUGUCAAUAGCUGACUAACCCUUCAUUUUGCUUUUAAUGGCUCUCUUACAGUGUGAAACAGCUGUUCUGUCAUGUUUGUCAUGCAGUCCUGGUGGCUCAUGGUCAUGAAUUUAUAUGGAGAGAGUUGGGUCAAAUAUUGCUCAGGUGCUAAUAUGUUGAAUUAAUUAGGGCAGAACAGGACUUGAACGUGUCCCUUGUCAGUACUUAAACAGAAUCUGCACCACCUGAAAGUAUGUCACUGUUACAGUAGUUUUAUAACUAAUCUGUGCUGCUAAGCAUUGGCUCUGAAUGUAGGACAAAG
Molecule: long non-coding RNA, 1307 nt
Filed under: Gallus gallus (chicken)
Lineage: Eukaryota; Metazoa; Chordata; Aves; Galliformes; Phasianidae
Description: lncRNA (ENSGALG00010009285.1)
Source: RNAcentral